GAUGAACGCUGGCGGCGUGCUUAGCACAUGCAAGUCGAGCGAAGCACUUUUGCGGAUUUCUUCGGAUUGAAGCAAUUGUGACUGAGCGGCGGACGGGUGAGUAACGCGUGGGUAACCUGCCUCAUACAGGGGGAUAACAGUUGGAAACGGCUGCUAAUACCGCAUAAGCGCACAGUGCCGCAUGGUACCGUGUGAAAAACUCCGGUGGUAUGAGAUGGACCCGCGUCUGAUUAGGUAGUUGGUGGGGUAACGGCCUACCAAGCCGACGAUCAGUAGCCGACCUGAGAGGGUGACCGGCCACAUUGGGACUGAGACACGGCCCAAACUCCUACGGGAGGCAGCAGUGGGGAAUAUUGCACAAUGGGGGAAACCCUGAUGCAGCGACGCCGCGUGAGCGAUGAAGUAUUUCGGUAUGUAAAGCUCUAUCAGCAGGGAAGAAAAUGACGGUACCUGACUAAGAAGCCCCGGCUAACUACGUGCCAGCAGCCGCGGUAAUACGUAGGGGGCAAGCGUUAUCCGGAUUUACUUGGUGUAAAGGGAGCGUAGACGGCAUGGCAAGCCAGAUGUGAAAGCCCGGGGCUCAACCCCGGGACUGCAUUUGGAACUGUCAGGCUAGAGUGUCGGAGAGGAAAGCGGAAUUCCUAGUGUAGCGGUGAAAUGCGUAGAUAUUAGGAGGAACACCAGUGGCGAAGGCGGCUUUCUGGACGAUGACUGACGUUGAGGCUCGAAAGCGUGGGGAGCAAACAAAAUUAGAUCCCCUGGUAGUCCCCGCCGUAAACGAAGAAUACUAGGUGUUGGGUGGCAAAGCCAUUCGGUGCCGCAGCAAACGCAAUAAGUAUUCCACCUGGGGAGUACGUUCGCAAGAAUGAAACUCAAAGGAAUUGACGGGGACCCGCACAAGCGGUGGAGCAUGUGGUUUAAUUUGAAGCAACGCGAAGAACCUUACCUGGUCUUGACAUCCCUCUGACCGCUCUUUAAUCGGAGCUUUCCUUCGGGACAGAGGAGACAGGUGGUGCAUGGUUGUCGUCAGCUCGUGUCGUGAGAUGUUGGGUUAAGUCCCGCAACGAGCGCAACCCCUAUCUUUAGUAGCCAGCAUCUAAGGUGGGCACUCUAGAGAGACUGCCAGGGAUAACCUGGAGGAAGGUGGGGAGGACGUCAAAUCAUCAUGCCCCUUAUGACCAGGGCUACACACGUGCUACAAUGGCGUAAACAAAGGGAAGCGAGCCCGCGAGGGGGAGCAAAUCCCAAAAAUAACGUCUCAGUUCGGAUUGUAGUCUGCAACUCGACUACAUGAAGCUGGAGUCGCUAGUAAUCGCGAAUCAGAAUGUCGCGGUGAAUAAGAUCCCGGGUCUUGCACA
RNAcentral lists this ribosomal RNA (1358 nucleotides) under uncultured bacterium. RNAcentral's name for it is "bacterial SSU rRNA". It matches the Rfam family "Bacterial small subunit ribosomal RNA", at positions 28 to 1387 of the family's 1533-position model. The record is from RNAcentral.